ACAGGGAGACAACAAAAUGUUUAAUAUUAUUAUUUUGUCACCUUAGGUCGAUCGGUAUCUCACGUUUUUAAUUUAUUAAGAAUUUCAUUUCCUAAGUUUUUCUAGGUCACACCCAUCAUUUUUCCUGGGCCAUUAGCUCAGGUGGUUAGAGCGCACCCCUGAUAAGGGUGAGGUCCCUGGUUCAAGUCCAGGAUGGCCCAUAUCUCUAUGUUGGGGGUAUAGCUCAGUUGGUAGAGCGCCUGCUUUGCAAGCAGGAUGUCAGCGGUUCGAGUCCGCUUACCUCCACUGAUCACCACCUCUUCCAUAAUCGGUAGAAAGGAAAUUUUUUGAGUUGUGAUCAAAUUCUGAAAGAAUCUAGCUUCCUAAUGAAAUCAUUAAGAUGCUGGACUCAUUGAAUUAAUUUCAUUGUUUUCAGAGAACCUUGACAACUGCAUAGAUUAUUUUUAAAGACAAUAAGCAUCUUUAAUGAUGCAGAUUUAUUAUUUGUGCAAAUGCAUUAAUAACAAUUCUAUUAAGCUGAUGCUUCAAUAUUUGAAGUUAUU
This 542-nucleotide transfer RNA is filed under the name uncultured Prochlorococcus sp. RNAcentral describes it as "partial 16S-23S ribosomal RNA intergenic spacer". The stretch from base 213 to 285 matches the Rfam family "tRNA". The record is from RNAcentral. Lineage: Bacteria; Bacillati; Cyanobacteriota; Cyanophyceae; Synechococcales; Prochlorococcaceae.